Non-coding RNA from Dipodomys ordii (Ord's kangaroo rat), 65 nucleotides. The record is from Rfam. Lineage: Eukaryota; Metazoa; Chordata; Mammalia; Rodentia; Heteromyidae.
GGUGGCUCAGUGGUAGAGUGCUUGCCUUGCAUCCAUGAGGCCCUGGGUUCAAUUCCUCAGCACCA